GCCGAAGUGGUGGAACUGGCAGACGCGCUAGAUUCAGGGUCUAGUGUCCGCAAGGAUGUGCGGGUUCGAAUCCCGCCUUCGGCACCA
RNAcentral lists this transfer RNA (87 nucleotides) under Thermoanaerobacterales bacterium. RNAcentral describes it as "tRNA-Leu". It matches the Rfam family "tRNA". Rfam says of the family: Transfer RNA (tRNA) molecules are approximately 80 nucleotides in length. Their secondary structure includes four short double-helical elements and three loops (D, anti-codon, and T loops). Further hydrogen bonds mediate the characteristic L-shaped molecular structure. tRNAs have two regions of fundamental functional importance: the anti-codon, which is responsible for specific mRNA codon recognition, and the 3' end, to which the tRNAs corresponding amino acid is attached (by aminoacyl-tRNA synthetases). tRNAs cope with the degeneracy of the genetic code in two manners: having more than one tRNA (with a specific anti-codon) for a particular amino acid; and 'wobble' base-pairing, i.e. permitting non-standard base-pairing at the 3rd anti-codon position. The record is from RNAcentral. RNAcentral also lists the same sequence under 1 other name. Lineage: Bacteria; Bacillati; Bacillota; Clostridia; Thermoanaerobacterales.